RNAcentral lists this ribosomal RNA (497 nucleotides) under uncultured bacterium. RNAcentral's name for it is "partial 16S ribosomal RNA". It matches the Rfam family "Bacterial small subunit ribosomal RNA", at positions 29 to 507 of the family's 1533-position model. The record is from RNAcentral.
AGUGAACGCUGGCGGUAUGCCUAAUACAUGCCAGUCGAACGGAAGGACGAGAAGCGUUCUCUCCUACUGUUGGCGGGGGGCGGGUGGGUAAGAAGUAGAUAAGAAUCCUAUUAUACUGGGGUGACUUCGGAGAGACAGAGAUGAUAAUAGCGCAUAUUUUGUACGGGAGGAAUCAAAAGAGAAACGGAGUUUUGGCGUUACAUUGAGAUGAUUCCGCGUUGCAUUAGCUAGUUGGUAAGGUAACGGCCUACCAAGGCAACGAUGCAUAGCCGACCUGAGAGGGUGAUCGGCCACACUGGAACUGAGACACGGUCCAGACUCCUACGGGAGGCAGCAGUAGGGAAUCUUCCGCAAUGGGCGAAAGCCUGACGGAGCAACGCCGCGUGAGUGAUGAAGGUCUUCGGAUCGUAAAACUCUGUUAUUAGGGAAGAACAUAUGUGUAAGUAACUGUGCACAUCUUGACGGUACCUAAUCAGAAAGCCACGGCUAACUACGUG